This 504-nucleotide ribosomal RNA is filed under the name uncultured bacterium. Its description in RNAcentral is "partial 16S ribosomal RNA". It matches the Rfam family "Bacterial small subunit ribosomal RNA", at positions 30 to 523 of the family's 1533-position model. The record is from RNAcentral.
AUUGAACGCUGGCGGCAGGCCUAACACAUGCAAGUCGAGCGGUAACAGGGGAAGCUUGCUUCUCGCUGACGAGCGGCGGACGGGUGAGUAAUGUAUGGGGAUCUGCCCGAUAGAGGGGGAUAACUACUGGAAACGGUGGCUAAUACCGCAUAAUCUCUCAGGAGCAAAGCAGGGGAACUUCGGUCCUUGCGCUAUCGGAUGAACCCAUAUGGGAUUAGCUAGUAGGUGAGGUAAUGGCUCACCUAGGCGACGAUCCCUAGCUGGUCUGAGAGGAUGAUCAGCCACACUGGGACUGAGACACGGCCCAGACUCCUACGGGAGGCAGCAGUGGGGAAUAUUGCACAAUGGGCGCAAGCCUGAUGCAGCCAUGCCGCGUGUAUGAAGAAGGCCCUAGGGUUGUAAAGUACUUUCAGUCGGGAGGAAGGCGUUGAUGCUAAUAUCAUCAACGAUUGACGUUACCGACAGAAGAAGCACCGGCUAACUCCGUGCCAGCCGCCGCGGUAA